Molecule: ribosomal RNA, 410 nt
Filed under: uncultured bacterium
Lineage: Bacteria
Description: bacterial SSU rRNA
Rfam family: Bacterial small subunit ribosomal RNA
Source: RNAcentral
AUUGAACGCUGGCAGCAUGCCUUACACAUGCAAGUCGAGCGGCAGCGCGGGGGCAACCCUGGCGGCGAGCGGCGAACGGGUGAGUAAUGCAUCGGAACGUAUCCAAUAGUGGGGGAUAGGCCGGCGAAAGCCGGGUUAAUACCGCAUACGCCCUAAGGGGGAAAGUGGGGGAUCGCAAGACCUCACGCUAAUGGAACGGCCGAUGUCGGAUUAGCUAGUUGGUGAGGUAAAGGCUUACCAAGGCGACGAUCCGUAGCUGGUUUGAGAGAACGACCAGCCACACUGGGACUGAGACACGGCCCAGACUCCUACGGGAGGCAGCAGUGGGGAAUUUUGGACAAUGGGGGCAACCCUGAUCCAGCCAUGCCGCGUGAGUGAAGAAGGCCUUCGGGUUGUAAAGCUCUUUCGGC